GAUGAACGCUGGCGGCGUGCCUAAUACAUGCAAGUCGAGCGAACAGAUAAGGAGCUUGCUCCUUUGACGUUAGCGGCGGACGGGUGAGUAACACGUGGGUAACCUACCUAUAAGACUGGAAUAACUCCGGGAAACCGGGGCUAAUGCCGGAUAACAUUUAGAACCGCAUGGUUCUAAAGUGAAAGAUGGUUUUGCUAUCACUUAUAGAUGGACCCGCGCCGUAUUAGCUAGUUGGUAAGGUAACGGCUUACCAAGGCAACGAUACGUAGCCGACCUGAGAGGGUGGUUCGCCCAACUGGAACUGGAGCACGGUCCAGACUCCUAAGGGGAGCAACAGGAGGGAAUCUUCCGCAAUGGGCGAAAGCCUGACGGAGCAACGCCGCGUGAGUGAUGAAGGUCUUCGGAUCGUAAAACUCUGUUAUUAGGGAAGAACAAAUGUGUAAGUAACUGUGCACGUCUUGACGGUACCUAAUCAGAAAGCCACGGCUAACUACGUG
Molecule: ribosomal RNA, 497 nt
Filed under: uncultured bacterium
Lineage: Bacteria
Description: partial 16S ribosomal RNA
Rfam family: Bacterial small subunit ribosomal RNA
Source: RNAcentral